GAGUCCGAAGUUGCUGCUGCUGGGAGCUUGAGCUGAGAUGGACUGGUCUUCAUGGGCGCCCAAGGCGCUGGGUGCAGCUUUCCCCGAGACCCCCAGAUGGAAAGGAGGGAAGGAGGAACCCCACACACUCGCCUUUUGCGAGAAGAUCGGCGCGCACCCCAGAGUGCCCCAAGCCUUUGGAAUCUGCCUGCUGAGCGGAGCGCGCGAGCGUGGUGGACAGGUCCCGAACUUGGCCAGCGGGCUUUCUUGGCAACUUGCUUUGCGCAGUUCUCCAUGGAACCCUGGACCCACUGUGCUCCCGGCGCCUUGCCUUUUUUUUUCUUUUUCUUUCUCUCACUGUCUCUUUUUAAAUUUAUGAACUCGAAAUGAAGCGGAAAGCAGAUAUGCGCGUCAGCAUACUUUGGCGGGAUGCUGGCCCACCACUAGUAUUCUCUGGUGCUCGUUGUGCUUUGGGAGAUCUUCUAUGCAACAUGGAAACCAUGAAUUGUACCACAGAGGGAGAUCUUCUGUCCCACUAGGAAACUGCGAAUUGUACCACAGAGGGAGAUCUUCUAUGCAACAUGGAGACCAUGAAUGGUACACACAGAGAGAGAUCUUCUAUCCACAUGGACACCAUGAAUUGUACCACAGAGGCAGAUGUUCUAUCCAACAUGGAAACCAUGAACUGUACACACAGAGGGGGAUAUUCCAUCCAACAUAGGAACCAUGAACUGUACACACAGAGGGAGAUCUUCUAUCCAACAUGGAGACCAUGAAUUUUACCACAAAGGAAGAUGUUCUAUCCAAAAUGGAAACCAUGAGUUGUAUGCCUAGAGGGAGAUCUUCUAUCCAAUAUGUAAGCCACGAGUUGGACACACAGAGAGAGAUAUUUUAUCCAACUUGGAAACCAUGAAUUGUACACAC
This 903-nucleotide long non-coding RNA is filed under the name Homo sapiens (human). Its description in RNAcentral is "HSALNT0338422". Lineage: Eukaryota; Metazoa; Chordata; Mammalia; Primates; Hominidae. The record is from RNAcentral.